AAGCGGAAAUACUGACAUAAACCUGUUUUUUGGAUAGCGCCACCUCUCGGUCAGGAAUAUUCAUGCACCACUCCCUGUUUACCACCAGACGGAAGCAAAAUCUUGGAAAUAAAUGUUCAUUAUUGAAGAGACCCAAGGACGUACAAAACAGCUCACAUCAUUUGGAAACUGCCUUCAGUCUGACAGAUGGCGUGAAUCUGUCUGGAGCCCUGGCAGUGAAGAGUGCACGGGCUUCAAAGGCCCUGUGUAAUCUGCAAAAACAUCAGACGCAGGAGAAAGUGACUGUCUCCCUGACGCCUGCCCCGCUAAGAGGCCAAGCAAGGCGCUAAUGAAAGACAGAUAAAGGGAUAUGGAUACAAAAAAUUUCAGGGAGCUCUGAUGUGUCAGACAAGCCCAUCAGCUGCUGUGUUCAUCAGAGUGUCCAACUUCUUUGUUUCCUUUAUUGUACCAGAUUUUGGAACAUCUGUGCCUUGUUUAUACCAUGUUAGUGCACAACAGGUACAGUAC
This is a long non-coding RNA of Boleophthalmus pectinirostris (great blue-spotted mudskipper), 507 nucleotides long. RefSeq lists it as uncharacterized. Lineage: Eukaryota; Metazoa; Chordata; Actinopteri; Gobiiformes; Gobiidae. The transcript is spliced from 4 exons. The record is from RefSeq and is a predicted model, not a curated record.